Molecule: ribosomal RNA, 1062 nt
Filed under: Exiguobacterium profundum
Lineage: Bacteria; Bacillati; Bacillota; Bacilli; Caryophanales
Description: bacterial SSU rRNA
Rfam family: Bacterial small subunit ribosomal RNA
Source: RNAcentral
UUGGUUCCGGCAUACCUAUACAUGCAGUCGAGCGCAGGAAGCCGUCGUGAACCCUUCGGGGGGACGACGGUGGAAUGAGCGGCGGACGGGUGAGUAACACGUAAAGAACCUGCCCAUAGGUCUGGGAUAACCACGAGAAAUCGGGGCUAAUACCGGAUGUGUCAUCGGACCGCAUGGUCCGCUGAUGAAAGGCGCUCCGGCGUCGCCCAUGGAUGGCUUUGCGGUGCAUUAGCUAGUUGGUGGGGUAACGGCCCACCAAGGCGACGAUGCAUAGCCGACCUGAGAGGGUGAUCGGCCACACUGGGACUGAGACACGGCCCAGACUCCUACGGGAGGCAGCAGUAGGGAAUCUUCCACAAUGGACGAAAGUCUGAUGGAGCAACGCCGCGUGAACGAUGAAGGCUUUCGGGUCGUAAAGUUCUGUUGUAAGGGAAGAACAAGUGCCGCAGGCAAUGGCGGCACCUUGACGGUACCUUGCGAGAAAGCCACGGCUAACUACGUGCCAGCAGCCGCGGUAAUACGUAGGUGGCAAGCGUUGUCCGGAAUUAUUGGGCGUAAAGCGCGCGCAGGCGGCCUCUUAAGUCUGAUGUGAAAGCCCCCGGCUCAACCGGGGAGGGCCAUUGCAAACUGGGAGGCUUGAGUAUAGGAGAGAAGAGUGGAAUUCCACGUGUAGCGGUGAAAUGCGUAGAGAUGUGGAGAACACCAGUGGCGAAGGCGACUCUUUGGCCUAUAACUGACGCUGAGGCGCGAAGCGUGGGAGCAAACAGAUUAGAUACCCUGGUAGUCCACGCCGUAAACGAUGAGUGCUAGGUGUUGAGGCUUCCGCCCUUCAGUGCUGAAGCUACGCAUUAGCACUCCGGCUGGGAGUACGUCGCAAGCUGAACUCGAAGGACUGGACGGGCACCCCGCCAAGCGGUGGAGCAUGUGGUAGUCGAGCACGCGAGACUUUACCACUCUGACUCCCUGAACGGUACAGAGAUUGACCUUCCUUACGGGGCAGGUUACCGUGGCAAUGUGCCCGCAAGCUCGGUCGAAUUGUUAAGUCCCAACAGAGCCACCCUG